This 441-nucleotide ribosomal RNA is filed under the name Triticum aestivum (bread wheat). RNAcentral's name for it is "partial small subunit ribosomal RNA". Lineage: Eukaryota; Viridiplantae; Streptophyta; Magnoliopsida; Poales; Poaceae. The record is from RNAcentral.
AUGCCCCCAUGCCGCCGGGUAAGGAGCUACCCAUAUCUAACUCCGGAGCGCCGGCUGCAGCUCCUUGAUCAGAUCCGGGCAAGGCGCGAAGCCCAGAUCGCCGCGGGGCUACUUCCGUAUGCGAUGGAUCCGAAGGAGUAUGAGGUUGAGGAGGAGGAGAAUCUGGGGGACACUGGGGACGUGAUCUGCAGGCGGAGCAGCAGGCCAGCUUGGAGUCGGAUGCGAAGGCCAGACGUCGUCGUCGACAGGAGAUGGAGGCGGAGCACGCCGCGGAAGUCGACGAGUUGCUCGCGUACAUGGAUGAGGAGGAGGAGGAGGAGGAAGAGGAGGAGCCGGAGCCCUCCUACGCGCUCGUCCAGCCGGCGCUCGACACCGACGUCAUGGACAACUCCGACGAUGAUCGUAGCUAGCGUGUCGCAGUAUGUACCACCUCCGUUCUGA